RNAcentral lists this ribosomal RNA (252 nucleotides) under uncultured bacterium. Its description in RNAcentral is "partial 16S ribosomal RNA". It matches the Rfam family "Bacterial small subunit ribosomal RNA", at positions 524 to 776 of the family's 1533-position model. The record is from RNAcentral.
UACGAAGGGUGCAAGCGUUGUUCGGAAUUAUUGGGCGUAAAGGGUUCGUAGGCGGAAAUUUAAGUCGGGUGUGAAAUCCCAAGGCUCAACCUUGGACGUGCAUUCGAAACUAUUUUUCUUGAAUGUUGGAGAGGGAAAGGGAAUUGCUGGUGUAGGAGUGACAUCCGUAGAGAUCAGCAGGAACACCGGAGGCGAAAGCGCUUCCUGGCCAAACAUUGACGCUGAGGAACGAAAGCGUGGGGAGCAAACAGG